Mustela lutreola (European mink) is the source of this 407-nucleotide long non-coding RNA. RefSeq lists it as uncharacterized. NCBI's taxonomy places the organism in Eukaryota, Metazoa, Chordata, Mammalia, Carnivora, Mustelidae. The record is from RefSeq and is a predicted model, not a curated record. The transcript is spliced from 3 exons.
CGCAAGGAAGCGGGGCGCCAAGUUGCCCGGGCCAGGCGGGCCCCACCGCCCGACCCCUGCCGGGCGGGAAAGCUGCGAGCGGAUCUCAAAUGCGGCCAAACCCGGCCAGAAAGGGACUUGGGACAACCUCCACUCCAAGGACCGCCGAUGGACAGGCUGUGCGUUCUGGGGUGGGACCAGGUCCUUCCAGCUCAUCUCAGUAGCCAGUAGAAGCAGGGACGACAGUAAAACUGUGCGGAGGCAUCUGUUGGCCAGACCCUGCCCGGGGGCCAUGGUGGACGUGGUCAGGAAGACACAGUCAAGGACUUAGCACCCCUGGGGUGACAUACAGCCCAGCAGAGGACCUCUGGACAGCCGGAGACAAAUGUUAUGAGGAGGCGACCACGCAUAAUUCUUUUUAAUCAUGG